GACGAACGCUGGCGGCGUGCUUAACACAUGCAAGUCGAACGGUAAGGCCCUUCGGGGUACACGAGUGGCGAACGGGUGAGUAACACGUGGGUGAUCUGCCCUGCACUUCGGGAUAAGCCUGGGAAACUGGGUCUCAUACCGGAUAGGACCACUGCCUGCAUGGGUGGGGGUGGACAGCUUUUGCGGUGUGGGAUGGGCCCGCGGCCUAUCAGCUUGUUGGUGGGGUAAUUGCCUACCAAGGCGACGACGGGUAGCCGGCCUGAGAGGGUGACCGGUCACACUGGGACUGAGAUACGGCCCAGACUCCUACGGGAGGCAGCAGUGGGGAAUAUUGCACAAUGGGCGCAAGCCUGAUGCAGCGACGCCGCGUGAGGGAUGACGGCCUUCGGGUUGUAAACCUCUUUCAGCUAUGACGAAGCGCAAGUGACGGUAGUAGCAGAAGAAGGACCGGCCAACUACGUGCCAGCCGCCGCGGUAA
Molecule: ribosomal RNA, 478 nt
Filed under: uncultured bacterium
Lineage: Bacteria
Description: partial 16S ribosomal RNA
Rfam family: Bacterial small subunit ribosomal RNA
Source: RNAcentral